Non-coding RNA from Paramuricea clavata, 809 nucleotides. NCBI's taxonomy places the organism in Eukaryota, Metazoa, Cnidaria, Anthozoa, Malacalcyonacea, Plexauridae. The record is from the annotation of a GenBank genome assembly.
GAUUUGCGCAAACUUGAUCUCUUUCAGUCAAAGAAAGUUACUGUACCCAGAAUACAAAAAAAUAAGCUUUCGGAAAGUUUUAGUACUAAAUUAUUAGUACCAACUGAAACCUGUGAUAUGCGAUUUAUCUCUAAGUCGUUUGCCCGACGUUUCUAAUUACGUCAAGCAAUUACAUGUCAUGUUACUAAAUUCAAUCUAUUAUUUAUCGUUCUUUAUUUAUUUCUAUAAUUAGUUUUUCAUAAUUGCUUGAGUAUGAUUGAACUGAAGGAUAUGUCUUAAUUUUCUAUUAACAUGGAAAUAUUUCAUUUCUAAUCUUAUUCCUCCUAUAACAGGAGAUGCAAAAGAGUUUACACGACUUCGGCAUAUUUUUGUACGUCCACUAAAAAAAAUGUUUGCUAUAAUUUCUUCCCAACUACCUUUCGUAUUAAAAUCAUACAUGUGGAAAACUAAAUGCAAUACUCAUUUGGUUAUACAUGAGAUAUGCAUUAAGUUUGUCAAAAAAUACAAACAAUGUUUCCACAACAAGGUUUGUUCAGGACUUGUGCGCAAUGUUGUGGGCAGGUUGUACGAAGGCUGGAUAGCGCUAUCCACCGGAAAGUGAUUAUUUCAACCUUUGAAAAAAUGCUUGAAAAACUAUACAGACGACACAAGAAGUAUAAAAAACAUUUAACGUAUAAAUACUACACUUUAAUACGAGUUAUACCAAUCAACGACUGAUUUAAGAAAGCUUGAAAAAAUCACUAUAUAUGGCGGUUCUCGCUAUCCGGCCUUCGUACAACCGACCCCUGGAACCAACGUUUCCAGGUUUG